CAUCGCCUCUUGCAUAACCACAGUAUAAGAGGUCCCGCCUGCCCAGUGACAACUUAGUUCAACGGCCGCGGUAUUUUGACCGUGCAAAGGUAGCGUAAUCACUUGUCUUUUAAAUGAAGACCUGUAUGAAUGGCAUAACGAGGGCUUAACUGUCUCCUUCCCCUGGUCAAUGAAAUUGAUCUCCCCGUGCAGAAGCGGGGAUAAAACCAUAAGACGAGAAGACCCUAUGGAGCUUUAGACACACAGGUGGCCCAUGUCAAAUACCCCCAGCUAAGGGCCUGAACUAAAUGGAGCCUGCCUUGAUGUCUUCGGUUGGGGCGACCAUGGGGAAUACAAAACCCCCACGUGGAAAGGGAGCACACCCCUAAGUUACUUCUUCUCCCGCAAGCCAGAGCAACAGCUCUAACAAGCAGAAAUUCUGACCAAACUGAUCCGGUAAAACCGAUCAACGAACCAAGUUACCCUAGGGAUAACAGCGCAAUCCCCUUUUAGAGCCCAUAUCGACAAGGGGGUUUACGACCUCGAUGUUGGAUCAGGACAUCCUAAUGGUGCAGCCGCUAUUAAGGGUUCGUUUGUUCAACGAUUAAAGUCCUACGUGA
This 599-nucleotide ribosomal RNA is filed under the name Isopsetta isolepis (butter sole). Its description in RNAcentral is "partial 16S ribosomal RNA". It matches the Rfam family "Bacterial large subunit ribosomal RNA", at positions 1814 to 2603 of the family's 2925-position model. The record is from RNAcentral. Lineage: Eukaryota; Metazoa; Chordata; Actinopteri; Pleuronectiformes; Pleuronectidae.